This 26-nucleotide non-coding RNA is filed under the name Homo sapiens (human). The record is from RNAcentral. Lineage: Eukaryota; Metazoa; Chordata; Mammalia; Primates; Hominidae.
UGAGGAAGAAGUUAGGUGACACACGG